CAAUUCGGUCCGGAGUCAAUGGGUUAUCUUUCAAAACCCCCCAUUGACAACAACUUGACCGGCGU
This is a small RNA of Caenorhabditis elegans, 65 nucleotides long. It matches the Rfam family "Nematode sRNA ceN72-3_ceN74-2". The record is from Rfam. NCBI's taxonomy places the organism in Eukaryota, Metazoa, Nematoda, Chromadorea, Rhabditida, Rhabditidae.